This 365-nucleotide long non-coding RNA is filed under the name Panax ginseng (ginseng). Its description in RNAcentral is "long non-coding RNA (PGIN_LNC018815)". The record is from RNAcentral. Lineage: Eukaryota; Viridiplantae; Streptophyta; Magnoliopsida; Apiales; Araliaceae.
AAAGCUGAAUCGUAGAGUGCAGAACUAAGGCUUCAACAGAAGUGCUCACAACGCCAAGGCAGAAUCGUAGAGUAAAUACGAUUCUCAACAAAUGAGCACUCCCAGAAUAUCCAAAGUAUGAAGCCUCUGGUCUGAGCUGCAAAGAUACAUCCCACCUGAAGGAAACCAGAGAGCACUCAACGAAUGGCAUACAAACUAACAGAAGAUCUAAGCGCCAACCCAAUCAACAUCCUGAUUGAGUUGUGAAGCCAUUCGAGAUGAAGUCUUCCACAAGUUGAUCAGAAGAAGACUUCAGUCAAAGUAACUGACUAAUGAAAGUCAGCUAGUACAGUAGCUGUCAAGUGAACAGAAGACAACGAUCUUAG